RNAcentral lists this ribosomal RNA (495 nucleotides) under uncultured bacterium. RNAcentral describes it as "partial 16S ribosomal RNA". It matches the Rfam family "Bacterial small subunit ribosomal RNA", at positions 28 to 507 of the family's 1533-position model. The record is from RNAcentral.
GAUGAACGCUGGCGGCGUGCCUAAUACAUGCAAGUAGAACGCUGAAGGAGGAGCUUGCUCUUCUGGAUGAGUUGCGAACGGGUGAGUAACGCGUAGGUAACCUGCCUGGUAGCGGGAGAUAACUAUUGGAAACGAUAGCUAAUACCGCAUGACAACAGUUAUUGCAUGAUAACUGUUUAAAAGGGGCAACUGCUCCACUACCAGAUGGACCUGCGUUGUAUUAGCUAGUUGGUGAGGUAACGGCUCACCAAGGCGACGAUACAUAGCCGACCUGAGAGGGUGAUCGGCCACACUGGGACUGAGACACGGCCCAGACUCCUACGGGAGGCAGCAGUAGGGAAUCUUCGGCAAUGGACGGAAGUCUGACCGAGCAACGCCGCGUGAGUGAAGAAGGUUUUCGGAUCGUAAAGCUCUGUUGUAAGAGAAGAACGAGUGUGAGAGUGGAAAGUUCACACUGUGACGGUAUCUUACCAGAAAGGGACGGCUAACUACGUG